UGGUAGAUUUCCGCUACGACAAAUAUAUAGAAGGAAGCCAAAAACGAGAUGUCUCGUUUUCAAAAUGACUCUUUGCAAAUCCACUAGUUAUCUCGAUAGUUCUAGGUCAGCUAGAAAUUCGCUGAUCUAGACUAACUGCUAUGCGAGGCGUUUGAAGAAACCCUGUCAAAAAACAUCCAGCAAACAUAUGGCACCGAAGAUGCACCCUUUGUUCUACCUCUUUAAUUAAAAACGUUGCAUUCAUUGGUUCGUUUCAAUCAUAUUGUUGGACCUGUGUGGGAUGACCGGUCGAUUAGCCAGCGUCAAGAUAUCGUCACGGAUGUCACUCUCCUGCUUCGGGCUGUAUAGUUGUGAAACACGCGCCAGAAAACAAACAGAGGGGGAAGGCGAGGCAGAAAACGAAAAUUGUGAUGAAAAAUCCCAGAGAAGCAUACAAAAGGCCAUUAAGUGUCGAAGUUCACAUUGCAGAGAUUACAAGGUCUACCUACCGGGAAGAGGCUCACGCUUGUUCUAACGCCCAGGACAGGUGUGCAGAAAAACGUCUGUCCUAACAACUGGUUAAGAAAGUGGUGUCGAUGUCCGUAUCGACCUGCUGAGUUUGCCGGAGUUUGUGACGUUCCUUCUCAGUGAACACAGUCGUCUGAUUGUCGGUCUUGGCGCUUGUUGGUGUUGUCGUAUUCGAUUCCACGAUGUUUAAGUAGCAAGGUCGUUAAAUGAUUUGACCUUGAAAGUGGAUGCCCUCGCAAAGUAGUAUCGCGAAAGCCAACGAAAUCCGUCCAGCUCCAGCCUUCCUCUCGGUGGCGAUAUUCGACAGUAAAAGACCUCAUCUUGAAUAUUGCCAAGAAGAUGGCGGACUGUCUAUCACCCCUUGUUUGAGUAUCAACGAAAAUAAAAAGAAGAGUAUGUUUUUGCGACCACUUUUUCUUCAGAAAAAUCAACAUGAACCUUUUCGAGCUUACUAGAUUGAAUGGAAAUCCAUUCAUUUC
Varroa destructor (honeybee mite) is the source of this 986-nucleotide long non-coding RNA. RefSeq lists it as uncharacterized. The record is from RefSeq and is a predicted model, not a curated record. NCBI's taxonomy places the organism in Eukaryota, Metazoa, Arthropoda, Arachnida, Mesostigmata, Varroidae.